ACUUAAGAAACAUCUUAUGAAAUUUACUUACCUGUCAAGAGAUGUUUUCUUAUAGUGAAAGUUGUGCAUGUAAUUCUUUGACCUGAGACUACCAUAGAACCUUGUAUAUAUGAAUCCAUAUUUUUUGGUUCAUACUCAUUCAUGACUUAGUCAUGUACGGGGUGUUCUAGAUAUGGUAGAAUGUGUAUGGAGGUUGUGAGUAG
Molecule: long non-coding RNA, 203 nt
Filed under: Elaeis guineensis (African oil palm)
Lineage: Eukaryota; Viridiplantae; Streptophyta; Magnoliopsida; Arecales; Arecaceae
Description: long non-coding RNA (EGUI_LNC056630)
Source: RNAcentral